GUUAGGGAGGGGGUUCACAGGUCCUGUUCUGGGCCUCGUUUCCCAGAGCCUUCGUAGUGUUAAGAUCAUCGUUAGAACCUUCUUACGAUGUAUCUUCAGUAGCCGAGGUGUUUCGCAGAUCCUUCGUAGCGUUAAGAUCAUCGUUAGAACCUUCUUACGAUGUAUCUUCAGUAGCCGAGGUGUUUCCCAGAGCCUUUGUUAGUAACGUGUAGAGCUGCCAAAGUGCAUCGUCAGAUCUCCGCUAAACAUAGAAUGAAGAUGUUUAGGCUAUCUGUCUGUCUGUGACUGCAGAUAACUUCAAAAUGAAGUUGACUACAAAUACAAAGUUGCCGAAGUAUUUUUAAUUGUGAAGGAAAAAAUGAGUGAAUGAUAAAAUUAUGCUUCAAAUUAAAACCGAGAUGACUGCAUUAAUAUAUACAUACAUGAGCCUAAAUCUACUUUAAAUCCAUUUAAUUAUAUUUUGCAACUAGGCUGUCUGUAAUCUUUGCCUCAAUGUAUUUCAUGAUGUGUGACAACUUGUGCGCAAUGAUGUGCCCAAUCUGUGAUUUAGUGCAUUAUUAUUGAGUAAGCAUAAUAAGCCGCCUCAAUAGCCUAUUUGCAGCCAUAAUUGGUAAUAUCUCUCUAGGAGCUGAUCCGUCAUCAGUAUUGUGGAAUAAUUAUGUUAAGGUAACAGAGCAGAGCUGCUUUUCUGUCGAUCCUAUCAGUAUCGACACAUGGUCUAACGACGCGCUUAGCGAACGUUCUCUCUACGUGCUUGUUUGGGAAAUCAUCGUAAUGCUUAAGUUACAUUUCAACUGGGAAACGAGGCCCUCCCACUGGGAACAGACGUCAGUUCAACGUGUAGUUUUGAUUUACAUUUGGUUGAGUUGUCAACUAAUGUGAAUUCAGUGCACUGUAAUCCCAAACAGUUGUACUAGCUCAUACGUAAUAAGGUCAUAACAGUCAAAUGUCGUUAUGCAGUUGACCAAACUAUAAAGUGUUGAACUCUGUUGAGAUUUAUGCCACUUUAAUUGAAGAGGGCUCAAUAUUUUAUAGGUAAUUUGUGUGGAACGCUCAAAAAGUUUAGGUAGUGUCAUGACGUUAUCGACGUCAUGACGUUCUGGUGGGUGGGUCAUCUCUCCCUCAGGAAAGCUGAGUCAGCCAUCUUGAAUUUGCCUUGAUGCGGGGAUGUUUGGGCCGCCCGUGUGGAUGUGGAACACAGUUUAAUUUGUUUUAAUUUGUUUGCAAUGCGCACUUUUAUGCUGCCCGCUUGAAACCACCACCACCUCCGUUUUUAUCAUUAGUCUUAUUGCCCUCGUUUUCUUAAGCGCCAUCUUAUCAUCACCUCUGAUUUGGUGUAACGUUAUCAGCGGGUUUCCUGGAUGAACUACAUUUCCCAUAAUGCAUGUUUGCCCGGGACAUUGACGGUGGAGGAAGGUCCAUGAGUUUUCGCUGUUCGCCGGUAAUGCAAGUGCGUACUGCUCAAGUGUGUGGUUGUGAGAUCAUCUCGAAAUCCUUUUAACAGUUCAGGAACAAAGUGAUGUAAAUAUGAUACGGGCCCUCGUCCUUCGUGCACUUCCUGUGUACCUGCGUGAAGAUGCCUCCAAGUUUUUCAGGACCUGUAAUUCAGCAGAUGGUCCAGACCUCACUGACACUCCGGUGGCUCUCCUGACAGUUGUCACUGAUGAUAGGUUGCUGUGGGGGAUGCUGACGGGAGAGGUUGUGUUUUCUCUAGCAGGAGGCUACACAAACGCCUCACACCGCGUGGCUGCUGCCUCUCU
Molecule: long non-coding RNA, 1760 nt
Organism: Coregonus clupeaformis (lake whitefish)
Lineage: Eukaryota; Metazoa; Chordata; Actinopteri; Salmoniformes; Salmonidae
Exons: 6
Source: RefSeq, a predicted model, not a curated record